UUGGAGGGCAAGUCUGGUGCCAGCAGCCGCGGUAAUUCCAGCUCCAAUAGCGUAUAUUAAAGUUGUUGCAGUUAAAAAGCUCGUAGUUGAAUUUCGGGAUUAGUACGCUGGUCGUGCCUUCGGUACGUACUGGUGUUACUGAUUUCUACCUUCUGACGAACCAUCAUGUCAUUAAUUUGGUGUGGUGGGGAAUCAGGACUGUUACUUUGAAAAAAUUAGAGUGUUUAAAGCAGGCUCGCGCUUGAAUACAUUAGCAUGGAAUAAUGAAAUAGGACGUUGAUCCUAUUUUGUUGGUUUCUAGGAUUGACGUAAUGAUUAGUAGGGAUAGUUGGGGGCAUUAGUAUUCAAUUGUCAGAGGUGAAAUUCUUGGAUUUAUUGAAGACUAACUACUGCGAAAGCAUUUGCCAAGGAUGUUUUCAUUAAUCAAGAACGAAAGUUAGGGGAUCGAAGACGAUCAGAUACCGUCGUAGUCUUAACCAUAAACUAUGCCGACUAGGGAUCGGAUGAUGUUAUUUUUAAUGACUCAUUCGGCGCCUUACGGGAAAC
Molecule: ribosomal RNA, 546 nt
Filed under: uncultured Glomeromycotina
Lineage: Eukaryota; Fungi; Glomeromycota
Description: SSU rRNA
Rfam family: Eukaryotic small subunit ribosomal RNA
Source: RNAcentral